Long non-coding RNA from Populus trichocarpa (black cottonwood), 611 nucleotides. RefSeq lists it as uncharacterized. The transcript has 4 exons. Lineage: Eukaryota; Viridiplantae; Streptophyta; Magnoliopsida; Malpighiales; Salicaceae. The record is from RefSeq and is a predicted model, not a curated record.
CCUAAAUUUCUUGCUUCAGCCGCCGCCCACACCAGACCCUUCUUCCUUUCCCCUUCAAUUUUCAUCUUCUCUGCCUCUUGCCCCCGCAUCUGUCUCUUCUCUAGCUGAUUAAUAAGCAAAUAACCCAGAUCUCCGCAUACAUCUAGUAUACUUGCAGUCGAAAAAAACCCGAACAAACCCCUUGGCGUCUCUCUUCACCUGCAACAGAAAGAGUCAAAGAGCUAGGGUUUUUGCAUCUUUCUUCAGAAUUUGGUGAAAGUUUAAAGAUCUCAACUGAUUGUUUGUAAGUAGUAUUGGUGGCUUGGUGCAAUCUUGGAAUAUAAUUGUUUUGGCAUUAUCCUGGAAUUUUUGGAUGCUGGUGUUGCUGGAAUUUUUGGAUGCUGGUGUUGCUGGAAUUUUUGGAUGCUGGUGUUGCUGGGUUUUUUUCUUCAAAGUUCAAAUUAUGCCGGAUGUUUAUGAUAAUUUAUUGCUGGUUGUUAAUGUAUUCGCUUGUACUUUUCUAGUGCGAACAGACUUUUAAUUUGAGGUUUUAAAAUUUGAUCAUGCAUCUUGCAUAUUGCAUUGAUUUAGCACUUUAGGAAGUAUAUUAAAAGUCAGCUAAUUUGCAUCUC